UACGUAGGGGGCUAGCGUUGUCCGGAAUCAUUGGGCGUAAAGCGCGCGUAGGCGGCCCGGUAAGUCCGCUCUGAAAGUCCAGGGCUCAACCCUGGAAAGCGGGUGGAUACUGCCGGGCUAGAAUCCGGAAGAGGCGAGUGGAAUUCCUGGUGUAGCGGUGGAAUGCGCAGAUAUCUGGAGGAACACCGGUGGCGAAGGCGGCAUCCUGGACCGAUACUGACGCUGAGGAGCGAAAGCCAGGGGAGCAAACGGG
Molecule: ribosomal RNA, 253 nt
Filed under: uncultured bacterium
Lineage: Bacteria
Description: partial 16S ribosomal RNA
Rfam family: Bacterial small subunit ribosomal RNA
Source: RNAcentral